AACGAACGCUGGCGGCAUGCCUAACACAUGCAAGUCGAACGAGACCUUCGGGUCUAGUGGCGCACGGGUGCGUAACGCGUGGGAACCUGCCCUUAGGUUCGGAAUAACUCCUCGAAAGGGGUGCUAAUACCGGAUGAUGUCGAAAGACCAAAGAUUUAUCGCCUUUGGAUGGGCCCGCGUAGGAUUAGGUAGUUGGUGGGGUAAAGGCCUACCAAGCCGACGAUCCUUAGCUGGUCUGAGAGGAUGAUCAGCCACACUGGGACUGAGACACGGCCCAGACUCCUACGGGAGGCAGCAGUGGGGAAUAUUGGACAAUGGGCGAAAGCCUGAUCCAGCAAUGCCGCGUGAGUGAUGAAGGCCUUAGGGUUGUAAAGCUCUUUUACCAGGGAUGAUAAUGACAGUACCUGGAGAAUAAAGCUCCGGCUAACUCCGUG
This 434-nucleotide ribosomal RNA is filed under the name uncultured bacterium. Its description in RNAcentral is "bacterial SSU rRNA". It matches the Rfam family "Bacterial small subunit ribosomal RNA", at positions 29 to 507 of the family's 1533-position model. The record is from RNAcentral.